Molecule: ribosomal RNA, 483 nt
Filed under: uncultured bacterium
Lineage: Bacteria
Description: partial 16S ribosomal RNA
Rfam family: Bacterial small subunit ribosomal RNA
Source: RNAcentral
AUUGAACGCUGGCGGCAGGCCUAACACAUGCAAGUCGAGCGGAUGAAGGGGGCUUGCUCCUGGAUUCAGCGGCGGACGGGUGAGUAAUGCCUAGGAAUCUGCCUGGUAGUGGGGGAUAACGUCCGGAAACGGGCGCUAAUACCGCAUACGUCCUGAGGGAGAAAGUGGGGGAUCUUCGGACCUCACGCUAUCAGAUGAGCCUAGGUCGGAUUAGCUAGUUGGUGGGGUAAGGGCCUACCAAGGCGACGAUCCGUAACUGGUCUGAGAGGAUGAUCAGUCACACUGGAACUGAGACACGGUCCAGACUCCUACGGGAGGCAGCAGUGGGGAAUAUUGGACAGUGGGCGAAAGCCUGAUCCAGCCAUGCCGCGUGUGUGAAGAAGGUCUUCGGAUUGUAAAGCACUUUAAGUUGGGAGGAAGGGCAGUAAGUUAAUACCUUGCUGUUUUGACGUUACCAACAGAAUAAGCACCGGCUAACUUCGU